ACGGGUGCGGAACACGUACGCAACCUUCCUUUAAGUGGGGAAUAGCCCAGGGAAACUUGGAUUAAUACCCCGUAACACUGCGAUGUGGCAUCACAAUGCAGUUAAAGCUACGGCGCUUAAAGAUGGGCGUGCGGCUGAUUAGGUAGUUGGCGGAGUAACAGCCCACCAAGCCAACGAUCAGUAACUGGUGUGAGAGCACGACCAGUCACACGGGCACUGAGACACGGGCCCGACUCCUACGGGAGGCAGCAGUAAGGAAUAUUGGUCAAUGGACGCAAGUCUGAACCAGCCAUGCCGCGUGGAGGAUGAAGGCCCUCUGGGUUGUAAACUUCUUUUAUUUGGGAAGAAACCCAUCUUUUCUAAGGUGGUUGACGGUACCAGAUGAAUAAGCACCGGCUAACUCCGUGCCAGCAGCCGCGGUAAUACGGAGGGUGCAAGCGUUAUCCGGAUUCACUGGGUUUAAAGGGUGCGUAGGUGGGCAGGUAAGUCAGUGGUGAAAUCUCCGGGCUUAACCCGGAAACUGCCGUUGAUACUAUCUGUCUUGAAUGUAGUGGAGGUGAGCGGAAUAUGUCAUGUAGCG
This 580-nucleotide ribosomal RNA is filed under the name uncultured Chitinophagaceae bacterium. Its description in RNAcentral is "bacterial SSU rRNA". It matches the Rfam family "Bacterial small subunit ribosomal RNA", at positions 102 to 680 of the family's 1533-position model. The record is from RNAcentral. Lineage: Bacteria; Pseudomonadati; Bacteroidota; Chitinophagia; Chitinophagales; Chitinophagaceae.